GUAAUAUAAUCGAAGUAUUGUAUAAGCACGGCUCUAGCUGUAUAUAUGCGUAUGAACAUGCAUAGAAGCUUUCCUUUAUAUGAACCUAUUAACCUACAUGUGGUGCAUAUAUAAGAUAUAUAACGUGUCAACCAAAGCAAAGAGGUCAUAUACCGAGGAAGUCUACAUAUCGUUUUUGCCAGGCUUUCGAUCGUCAUCAUCAUGGUUGUUACAGUCGAAGUCAUCUACUGCGGUGGAUGAGGGUACGGGAGCCGGUAUCGGCGAUUCCAAUCUGAACUGGAGGAAGACUUCCGCUCCAUUUCAGUAACUGGUUCCUCUACCCCGGGUAUAACUGGGUAUUUUGAGGUUAUAGUCAAUGGUGAAACCGUCCAUUCAAAGAAG
This is a long non-coding RNA of Lineus longissimus, 381 nucleotides long. RefSeq lists it as uncharacterized. The transcript has 4 exons. NCBI's taxonomy places the organism in Eukaryota, Metazoa, Nemertea, Pilidiophora, Heteronemertea, Lineidae. The record is from RefSeq and is a predicted model, not a curated record.